CCCGGCCCGGGCCGGAACCCGGGCCGGCCAACCGGGGUUCGGAAGGUAAACAACCGUUAAUUGCCGUAAACCCUUGGGCCCGGUUAGACAGAUGGAUAACCGGGAGAAAUCCCGCCUAAUACAACAUAAUGCCGGGAGGGGACAUCCCCUGCCGGCCAAAGGGGCGACCCCGGUCACGGAUGGGCAUGCGGCGCAUUAGGUAGUUGGUGGGGCAACGGCCCACCAAGCCGACGAUGCGUAGGGGUUCUGAGAGGAAGGUCCCCCCACAUUGGAACUGAGACACGGUCCAAAACUCCUACGGAAGGCAGCAG
Molecule: ribosomal RNA, 311 nt
Filed under: uncultured bacterium
Lineage: Bacteria
Description: bacterial SSU rRNA
Rfam family: Bacterial small subunit ribosomal RNA (bases 66-304)
Source: RNAcentral